AACGAACGCUGGCGGCGUACUUAACACAUGCAAGUCGUACGAGAAAUUCCGUUUCGGCGGGAGAGUAAAGUGGCGAACGGGUGAGUAAUACAAGGGUAAUCUGCCCUUAAAUUAGGGAUAACCUUGCGAAAGCGAAGCUAAUACCUGAUAAGACUACGACCUCUUAGGAGAAUGUAGGAAAAGAUGGCCUCUGUUUCAAGCUAUCGUUUAAGGAUGAGCCCUUGCACUAUUAGCUUGUUGGUGGGGUAACGGCCUACCAAGGCGACGAUGGUUAGCUGGUCUGAGAGGAUGACCAGCCACACUGGAACUGAGACACGGUCCAGACUCCUACGGGAGGCAGCAGUGAGGAAUAUUGCGCAAUGGGGGAAACCCUGACGCAGUGACGCCGCGUGAGUGAUGAAGGCUUUCGAGUCGUAAAGCUCUGUUAGGUGGAAAGAAACAUUCCAACGCUAAUAUCGUUGGAACUUGACGGUACCACCAGAGGAAGCACCGGCUAACUCCGUG
This 504-nucleotide ribosomal RNA is filed under the name uncultured bacterium. RNAcentral describes it as "bacterial SSU rRNA". It matches the Rfam family "Bacterial small subunit ribosomal RNA", at positions 29 to 507 of the family's 1533-position model. The record is from RNAcentral.